AAGAGAGAAAGAGAGAGAAAAGGAAAGUAACACAGCAAAAGGAAGUUAGGCGUGGCCAGAAGGAAGACUGGAAGGCAGGCUGGGGGUGCGAUGGCGCUGAAGGAGGGCACAGAUGGCUGGUCCGGGCCAGGGCGGCAGGAGGCCCAGGCAGUCGCUGCUGUCUGCAAGCAGCGGUUCUGUUUAUUUGUUCAGUGCGAUUCGAUACACAAACCUCAGUGAGUCUGUAAUAAUGGUAAGUUUUCCUCACGAUAUGGAAAAGGCCAGGAAACCUCCUGCUGUUCUGGCCUGCUCAGUUCCAGGGCUCCUCCCUGUGGAACAGAACCUUGGUCCCCACCUCGUCCCAGAUGGAUUGUGGGGAAGAUUUCUCCCUGACUCCCAGGCGGGCCAUGUGAUCAGGCCUGGCCAAUCAGGGCAUCAGAGCCUCCAACCCUCCCGGCAAAGAGUUCAGAAGCAGACGUGGGACCCCAGUCUAGCCAACCGCAGUGCCUGGCUCAGGCACACGUGUGUGACCUGCUGGACCAAAACAUGUUGAUCUUAAGGCUUUUGUAUUUUCUAAAUUACUCCUGCUGGGUUUACUAAGACAACAGGAUUAAGAAUGCAACUGCUCUCAGCCAGACAGCAGGUGAGGAAGAACCUUGACCGGGAAUGAAGCCCAAACCAGGAAGCACAGCCACCACGUGGAGGGAGAGACCAAAUGUUGCCACAGUAACCGCCCAUGUUUAUCGAGCGCUCUGUGGAGGCCUCUAUGACAAGCCACUGUGCCGCUGCAACCUCUUAGCGACACCACAAAGCAGGCAAGCACUCAGCGCGGCCGGAACCACAGCACAGCCACGGAAGCCACAGGACAGUGUUUAGGGAGAGGGGACAGUCCGCCUCAGAGGGUGCUCUGCUCCCUGUCCCCUCCGACAUUGCUCCCCCAUCAGCCAGCACCUCUUGGCGCCCUCCCUGGCCCUGGUGAGGGAUGGAGCCCGAGUGCCACUCUCUCAC
Molecule: long non-coding RNA, 987 nt
Organism: Fukomys damarensis (Damara mole-rat)
Lineage: Eukaryota; Metazoa; Chordata; Mammalia; Rodentia; Bathyergidae
Exons: 3
Source: RefSeq, a predicted model, not a curated record